RNAcentral lists this ribosomal RNA (252 nucleotides) under Eggerthella lenta DSM 2243. RNAcentral's name for it is "partial 16S ribosomal RNA". It matches the Rfam family "Bacterial small subunit ribosomal RNA", at positions 524 to 776 of the family's 1533-position model. The record is from RNAcentral. Lineage: Bacteria; Bacillati; Actinomycetota; Coriobacteriia; Eggerthellales; Eggerthellaceae. RNAcentral also lists the same sequence under 1 other name.
UACGUAGGGAGCGAGCGUUAUCCGGAUUCAUUGGGCGUAAAGAGCGCGUAGGCGGCCUCUCAAGCGGGAUCUCUAAUCCGAGGGCUCAACCCCCGGCCGGAUCCCGAACUGGGAGGCUCGAGUUCGGUAGAGGCAGGCGGAAUUCCCGGUGUAGCGGUGGAAUGCGCAGAUAUCGGGAAGAACACCGAUGGCGAAGGCAGCCUGCUGGGCCGCAACUGACGCUGAGGCGCGAAAGCUAGGGGAGCGAACAGG